RNAcentral lists this ribosomal RNA (468 nucleotides) under uncultured bacterium. RNAcentral describes it as "partial 16S ribosomal RNA". It matches the Rfam family "Bacterial small subunit ribosomal RNA", at positions 28 to 507 of the family's 1533-position model. The record is from RNAcentral.
GACGAACGCUGGCGGCGUGCUUAACACAUGCAAGUCGAACGGAAAGGCCCUGCUUUUGUGGGGUGCUCGAGUGGCGAACGGGUGAGUAACACGUGAGUAACCUGCCCUUGACUUUGGGAUAACUUCAGGAAACUGGGGCUAAUACCGGAUAGGAGCUCCUGCUGCAUGGUGGGGGUUGGAAAGUUUCGGCGGUUGGGGAUGGACUUGCGGCUUAUCAGCUUGUUGGUGGGGUAGUGGCUUACCAAGGCUUUGACGGGUAGCCGGCCUGAGAGGGUGACCGGCGACAUUGGGACUGAGAUACGGCCCAGACUCCUACGGGAGGCAGCAGUGGGGAAUAUUGCACAAUGGGCGGAAGCCUGAUGCAGCAACGCCGCGUGCGGGAUGACGGCCUUCGGGUUGUAAACCGCUUUCGCCUGUGACGAAGCGUGAGUGACGGUAAUGGGUAAAGAAGCACCGGCUAACUACGUG